CAAUCAGAGUCGGUUGUCGCUGGCCUCUUCGUUGAGGCAUGUGCACGCCUUCUCUGUUCAUCCACACACACCUGUGCACUUGUGAGACGGAUGACCCCUCUCGGGGGACGGUCCGUCUAUUAUACAUAAACUCCAGUAAAUAAAAUUUGAAUGUCAUNUGAUGUAAACGCAUCUUUAAACUAAGUUUCAACAACGGAUCUCUUGGCUCUCGCAUCGAUGAAGAACGCAGCGAAAUGCGAUAAGUAAUGUGAAUUGCAGAAUUCAGUGAAUCAUCGAAUCUUUGAACGCACCUUGCGCCCCUUGGUAUUCCGAGGGGCAUGCCUGUUUGAGUGUCAUUAAAUCCUCAACCCCCUUGGUUUUCUUGCAAGACCUAGGGAGGAUUGGAUUUGAGGGUCUGCCGGCGUAAGGUCGGCUCCCUUUAAAGACAUUAGCGGGACGAUAAGGACUCCUUGCGAUCGACGUGAUAAUUAUCUGCGUCCACAUCCGAGGUCUCUGAAGUCUGCUUCUAACCGUCUUCGGACACGCUCUGACCAUUUUGACCUCAGAUCAGGUAGGACUACCCGCUGAACUUAAGCAUAUCAAUAAGCGGAGGA
Molecule: ribosomal RNA, 593 nt
Filed under: uncultured fungus
Lineage: Eukaryota; Fungi
Description: eukaryotic LSU rRNA
Rfam family: 5.8S ribosomal RNA (bases 182-335)
Source: RNAcentral